GACGAACGCUGGCGGCGCGCCUAACACAUGCGAGUCGAACGGAGUCAAGAGGAGCUUGCUUUUCUUGACUUAGUGGCGAACGGGUGAGUAACGCGUGAGUAACCUGCCCUGGAGUGGGGGACAACAGUUGGAAACGACUGCUAAUACCGCAUAAGCCCACGGAUCUGCAUGGAUCUGCGGGAAAAGGAUUUAUUCGCUCUAGGAUGGACUCGCGUCCAAUUAGCUAGUUGGUGAGGUAACGGCCCACCAAGGCGACGAUUGGUAGCCGGACUGAGAGGUUGAACGGCCACAUUGGGACUGAGACACGGCCCAGACUCCUACGGGAGGCAGCAGUGGGGGAUAUUGCACAAUGGGGGAAACCCUGAUGCAGCGACGCCGCGUGGAGGAAGAAGGUUUUCGGAUUGUAAACUCCUGUCGUUAGGGACGAUAAUGACGGUACCUAACAAGAAAGCACCGGCUAACUACGUG
This 468-nucleotide ribosomal RNA is filed under the name uncultured bacterium. RNAcentral describes it as "partial 16S ribosomal RNA". It matches the Rfam family "Bacterial small subunit ribosomal RNA", at positions 28 to 507 of the family's 1533-position model. The record is from RNAcentral.